Long non-coding RNA from Bos taurus (domestic cattle), 1058 nucleotides. Lineage: Eukaryota; Metazoa; Chordata; Mammalia; Artiodactyla; Bovidae. The record is from Ensembl.
GCUUCAGCCACUCAACUGAAUGUGGUUGUGUUAUGGAAGCAACUCAGUUUAGGACCCUUCAUCAAUGGGGAGAGAUUUGCCUCCAGAAACCAACUCUGAGAUCGGCAGAGGUAGCUGAGUAGGAAAAUCUCCAAGUCCUCUCACAAACACACCAAGAUCACAAUGAUCUGCAGAAGAGCCAUCGGUGAGAAAGACUGGAACCUUUCAGAAAAGAUCUGAAACUAACAACAUCAAGAAGAAACUAUGAUGAGAUGGGGAGGAGGGACAGACUGGCAGCAUACUUAAGCCCCACACGCCCAGCCAGUCCUACCUGCUGGUCUUGGAGAGUCUCCUGGAGACGUGGAAGUCGCCUGUGGCUCAUGCUGGGGACAUAGGCACUGGCAGCAACUGAUCCUGGGAGCGAAACCUGGCGUGGAUGCUGGUGCACGCAGAGGCUGACGGUGAAUUUCAAAACCUUCCCUCCAGUACAUCAGUGUCAACACCUGCCUCUACCCAAUAACCUGUAGGCCCCAGUGCUGAGAGACUUCACAUCAAGCAAUUAACAUGGCAGGGAUACAGCUGCUCCCAUCAGCAGACAGGCUGUGUCCAGACCUGGCUGUGGGUUCAGGAGGUCUUAAGUACUUUAAGACUCUGCGCUUCCACUGUAGGGGGCUUGGGUUCAAUCCCUGGUCAGGGAAGUUUCGCAUGCUGUGGUGUGGCCCCAAAAUAAAGCCUGAUGGGACUUGGGCUCCAUAUUAAAAAAAAAAAUAUUAAAGUGAUAGAAAAUACAAUUUAAAAAAAUAAAGAGUUUAUCCCCUGCCUUAAAUUUAAAAAACAACAACAAAAAAAGGUGGCUGAAUUAUUUGUUGGCAGUGUAAGAUUUUAAAAUGUAUAAAUCUUUUCUUUGAAUAUAAAUUACUUACAGAAUAGAUUUUCACCCUCUGCAUGUUCUUACACACAGCAGUUAACUGCUGAGGCUUAAGGUUUACACAGUGGUGAUGACAGUAGUUUCAAUAGAUAACUUCUGGACAGCUUAGGAUAGCUCCCCAUAGUUCACUGUAAUUGAAUAAGAUUAGGAU